RNAcentral lists this ribosomal RNA (200 nucleotides) under uncultured Diversispora. Its description in RNAcentral is "partial small subunit ribosomal RNA". It matches the Rfam family "Eukaryotic small subunit ribosomal RNA", at positions 591 to 792 of the family's 1831-position model. The record is from RNAcentral. Lineage: Eukaryota; Fungi; Glomeromycota; Glomeromycetes; Diversisporales; Diversisporaceae.
CCAAUAGCGUAUAUUAAAGUUGUUGCAGUUAAAAAGCUCGUAGUUGAACUUCGGGGUUCACCCAUUGGUCAGGCUUAAUUGUCUGUACUGGUGAGAUGAAUCUCUACCUUCUGAGGAACUUUCAUGCCAUUUAUUUAGUGUGAUUGGAAAUCAGGACUGUUACUUUGAAAAAAUUAGAGUGUUUAAAGCAGGCUGACGUC